UACGUAGGGAGCAAGCGUUGUCCGGAAUCAUUGGGCGUAAAGCGCGCGUAGGCGGCCCUGUAAGUCCGUUGUGAAAGUCAAAGGCUCAACCUUUGAAAGCCGAUGGAUACUGCAGGGCUAGAGUCCGGAAGAGGCGAGUGGAAUUCCUGGUGUAGCGGUGGAAUGCGCAGAUAUCAGGAGGAACACCGGUGGCGAAGGCGGGUCUCUGGGCAGUAACUGACGCUGAGGAGCGAAAGCGUGGGGAGCGAACAGGA
Molecule: ribosomal RNA, 254 nt
Filed under: uncultured bacterium
Lineage: Bacteria
Description: partial 16S ribosomal RNA
Rfam family: Bacterial small subunit ribosomal RNA
Source: RNAcentral